Loxodonta africana (African savanna elephant) is the source of this 1672-nucleotide long non-coding RNA. RefSeq lists it as uncharacterized. NCBI's taxonomy places the organism in Eukaryota, Metazoa, Chordata, Mammalia, Proboscidea, Elephantidae. The record is from RefSeq and is a predicted model, not a curated record. The transcript is spliced from 2 exons.
UUGUGUCCUGCAGUCUGCAAAACUGCCUCCCCUGAGUGGGGUGAGGAGCUACUGAAAUACUGAAAUCAUUGAAACUAGCAGAAGCCACAGCUCAUGGUGCUGGGAGAAAACUGGGAAGGACGGAGAGGUGAAGAGGCUAUAAAGGCCCAGUCAUGAAGGCGACCAUGGGCCAGGAUGUCCUGAAGUCGCAAAGCUGACCAAUGCUGAGUGCCCUAAAACCUGCCACUCCUGUGCACAUCUUUUCUUUCAAUGGACAAAGUCUUCCCCUGCUCUUAUGUGCCUGGGCUGGAAGGGCCUUUGACUUAUAACAUGAAGCAGCCUCCAGAGCCUCUUGGGGCAAGUGAUGGUCAAGGAGGCUCUGCCUAACCCCACCCUGCCCUUCCCACUUGUCAGAGGACCAGGAAUUUCAGUCUUCCAGCUCCUGGGCUGAUCUAGUGACUUGUAACAGGAUUUCGCUGGAACUGGAAGGUGUUGAAGACAGGAAGUACUCCUGGGUUUCUUCACCCAGCUGAAUGCCUAGUUCCUGGUCUUAUUACACGGCUUACAUUCAGGAUAAGAAGAGGCAUUUGGAGCUUUACGCAUGACCUCUUAGCAGAGGUUUCUGUUCAGGAGCGAAGAGGUAAAAAGAAAGCAGUGUCUACUAAGUCCUUUUCCAAGAGUCUCAGGAAAUUCUCACGAAGACCUUCUCAGGCGGGACGCCCCUCCUGUGCUGUCCUCAGAAGGGCUCUUCAUAGACCGCACCCCUAGUUUGCGGAGCAGCAGAGCCUGCCCCAGUCUGGACUAGGGACUUUAUUUCUUCCACUCUCACCACUGGCUGAAGGCAGACUCCUGUCUCCACAGACUAAAGAGGAAUUAUCAAAAUGAGCUCGAAACUCUAGAUUUGAGUUAAGGAUCAUAAAUUAACACAGAGAAAUACAACUUUAACAACAAAGACCUGUUUGGAGCCCCAGUUGGAAUUAAAAAAAAAAAAACUUGAACAGAGGGAGUGAUAAAGUUUUCCUUCUUUUGCCACCCUCUCUCGGUGGUCCCAAGCUUUCUCAUCUCCCACCUCACAAGACUGUAUCAACUGCUUUGAGACUUUUAGAAUAAAGAUCCCCAGGCAUAUCACUGCUGUGACCCUGUGAGGAUUUCCCCAGUGCUGGGUUAGACUAAGACAGAAUCCUUCCAAGGCUUCCAGGGCCUGUGUACUGGACAGUCAGCACACGGAGCCUCAGAGCCCACUUCAUUUUUCCUGCAGUUGGGCAUGACACCAGGGACAUGACCCUUGAGAGUGCUGACACUUCCUGAAGCCAGUGACCCUCCCCCUGGGCUUCUCUCUGCCUGGGUCUCAGAGUCUCUGAGGCCAACUUGUACCCUCAGAAGUGUUUCUGCUGAAGGACACGUAAACAGCACUGUGGAUUUGUGUCCCGCAGUCUGCAAAACUGCCUCCCCUGAGUGGGGUGAGGAGCUACUGAAAUAUUGAAAUCACUGAAACUAGCAGAAGCCACAGCUCAUGGUCCUGGGAGAAAACUGGGAAGGACGGAGAGGUGAAGAGGCUAUAAAGGCCCAGUCGUGAAGGCGACCAUGGGCCAGGAUGUCCGGAAGUCGCAAAGCUGACCAAUGCUGAGUGCCCUAAAACCUGCCACUCCUGUGCCCAUCUUUUCUUUCAAUGGACAAAGUCUUCCCCUGCUCU